GACGAACGCUGGCGGCGUGCUUAACACAUGCAAGUCGAACGGAAAGGCCCUGCUUUUGUGGGGUGCUCGAGUGGCGAACGGGUGAGUAACACGUGAGUAACCUGCCCUUGACUUUGGGAUAACUUCAGGAAACUGGGGCUAAUACCGGAUAGGAGCUCCUGCUGCAUGGUGGGGGUUGGAAAGUUUCGGCGGUUGGGGAUGGACUCGCGGCUUAUCAGCUUGUUGGUGGGGUAGUGUCUUACCAAGGCUUUGACGGGUAGCCGGCCUGAGUGGGUGACCGGCCACAGUAGGACUGGAAGACGGACCAGUCUCCGACGGGAGGGGGCAGGGGGGAAUUAUGCAAAAUGGGCCGAAGCCUGACGCAGCAACCCCGGGGGCGGGAAGACGGCCUUCGGGUUGUAAACCGCUUUCGCCUGUGACGAAGCGUGAGUGACGGUAAUGGGUAAAGAAGCACCGGCUAACUACGUG
This 468-nucleotide ribosomal RNA is filed under the name uncultured bacterium. RNAcentral's name for it is "partial 16S ribosomal RNA". It matches the Rfam family "Bacterial small subunit ribosomal RNA", at positions 28 to 507 of the family's 1533-position model. The record is from RNAcentral.